This 237-nucleotide long non-coding RNA is filed under the name Elaeis guineensis (African oil palm). RNAcentral describes it as "long non-coding RNA (EGUI_LNC073156)". The record is from RNAcentral. Lineage: Eukaryota; Viridiplantae; Streptophyta; Magnoliopsida; Arecales; Arecaceae.
AAUUCGGAUCCAAUUCAUAUUACACAUUAUAAUAAGAUAAUGAAUGGGAUUAAUAGUUUUGUAUUGACGUUAACAGAAGUAAUAGCCAUUAAACAUGAAGUCCUAGUUGAACGGAACUGUUGAUCUAGUUGCAUAUAUUGAGCAAAUCAGAGCUGCUAUUUAUUGAGUAUUGUAUACAUUUAAAUUGUUAUAUUUUGAAAUAUGAUGAAUAUUCUGGUAUUAUUAUUGAGAUGGGCA